AUGGAUACAGCGAGGGACUCGAGCGGGGAGAGUAAGCCGGGGUGCCAGUUUGCGCCCAGGUCCGGACUCCGACAGUGGCUGCCAGGGUUGCCCAUCGCUCUGUGUUUGCUGUUGUCCAUGAGCUCCAUCGCGGUGUGUCUUUUGAUGAGCGUGAAGACGUUCCAGCUGGAGAGCCGGCUGCAGACGGAGAUGGACAAAAUCUCAAUCCUCCAGCCGUCGCACAGCGCGUUUCUGAAGGAGGAUGGCACCCUGAUUCCCGAGCUGAGCACCCCGAUUGAAAAGCUCGUUGAAGAGAAACUAACGGUGAUCCCCAAACUCCGAUCAGCCAGGGACGUCGCUCAGGAAUGCUCCUGUCCCCCAGUGAGAAGCAGCAGAGAGCUCCGCUGUGAGGCAUAGAUCAGUCUGAGGAGCACGGGGGGACGAGGGGCAGACGCUGGAGUCUUCUGCAACACAAAGUCAUUCCCGCCAUGCAUCAGAGACUCCUGCUGUCUUCAGUAAAUGUGUAUGAGUGCGAAUGGCUUACUGGCUGAAACCCUACCCUACUGAGAAGCAAUGAGAACAUUUAAGAAAAGAAGACGGACACACUUGUUGUGGUGAGAGUGCGUCGAGGAAAAUAAACAAAAUGGUAAAUGCUCAAUUACUUAAACGGCUACUGCUCCUUCACCACCUCAUUACCCACUUUAUCGCAUUACUUUUUAUUGUGAAAGAAAAUACAUAAAAAGUGCAAUAAUUAAUGAAAGUACUGAAAAUAAAAACGAGGUUGAAUGCUGCAAUUGCUUUCAUGGAAAUUGCUCCAUUGUGGCUUCAUUCCAAAACGCAUCCCUUUAUUUCUGCCACACAGGGCUCAGAGCUCCGUCACGGCAGGGCUGGGUGAGGCCUGUUCACUGCUGAGUACCGUGGCAUGCUGCUGUCCCUGUGGUUCGGCCGUUUGGGUGUCAGGUUGUCUCUGACCCUGCUCUGUUUAGGACCCCCCCCCCCCCCCCCCCCCCCCCUGGGUGGCCCCGUGUCAGCCCAGCGUAGGGCCCGCACCCCAGAGCCUCACAGUCAGACAGCCAUUAUGUCUAACCGGCUCCCUGUACCUCCGAGACACAAAGCAGACACGCGUGUACACAUGGACACACGCACGCUGACACACUGGGACACACGCACACACACUGGGACACACACACUCUGAGAAACACGCACACACUGGGACAGACACACACUCUGAAAAACGCACACACGCUGAGGCACGCACACUGAGAAAAAUACACACACACACACACACACACACACACACACACACACACACACACACACACACACACACACACACACACACACACACACACGGACACACACACACAGUGAAACACACACACACACACACACAUGUGCUCUUGUUAUAAGCAGACACCGGUUGUGCGCGGUUGUUAUUGCUGGUGACCCCCAGAUGUCAGUGGCCGUAAGACUGGAAGGACGGCCUCCCCUUGAGGUUUAUACACGGGCCUGCUCAGACCCA
This 1501-nucleotide long non-coding RNA is filed under the name Gadus morhua (Atlantic cod). Its description in RNAcentral is "lncRNA (ENSGMOG00000030627.1)". The record is from RNAcentral. Lineage: Eukaryota; Metazoa; Chordata; Actinopteri; Gadiformes; Gadidae.